Cyprinus carpio (common carp) is the source of this 650-nucleotide long non-coding RNA. RefSeq lists it as uncharacterized. NCBI's taxonomy places the organism in Eukaryota, Metazoa, Chordata, Actinopteri, Cypriniformes, Cyprinidae. The record is from RefSeq and is a predicted model, not a curated record.
UCUAUUCUAUUCUAUUCUAAUUUUGCCCAGGUCACCUUUACUAUAUCAUUCUUGCCCUCUGACACUUUCUGGAGCCUGUUUCUCCUCCCUCUCUUCCUCCUCCUUCCUGCACAGACUGGGAAGUAAUCCUAUAUAUAUUAGUUGUUCACCCUGUACUUCUUUAAAGGCUCUUCUCAGCUCACUGACAUUGUGUCAUACAAACAAAGAAAAAUGCCAGAAGAAGUUCCUGCUCAGUGCAAGGCUCCCAAAGAUGAGCUGGACAAAUGUGUUCAGGGGAAGGGUGCAGAGGGCUGUAAGGAGCUGCUGGAAGCUUUUGAGGCCUGUGUGAAGGGGACCACGGCAGCCUCGUGAGAGGACAUGGAGUUACAUGUCCUUCAUUUCUGGGUCCUCCAGUGUCCUUCCAUUCCCUCACAUUGCUCUGGACUAAACCAUUCUGAGGACAGUGAAAGGGGAGCAAGAGCUGGAAAGCAGUGGAAUUGUUUAUUUUGAUCCUGGGAAGUCUUGUUGCUGUCCUCAUGUUAUUUGUAACAGUGGAAGAAAUAAGAACCCAGUUUUUAUUAUUAUUAUUAUUAUUAUUUUCCAGAUUUCACACUGUAAUAAAACGGUGCAUUUCAUUUGUUUUUCAAUAAAUCAAUAACCAUGACAAUUAA